This 1646-nucleotide long non-coding RNA is filed under the name Canis lupus familiaris (dog). RNAcentral's name for it is "lncRNA (ENSCAFG00000039487.3)". The record is from RNAcentral. Lineage: Eukaryota; Metazoa; Chordata; Mammalia; Carnivora; Canidae.
ACAUAGUGUAGUGAUUGCAAAAUCAAAUGUCCCACACCAAUUAAUGGCUAGCUGAAAAAUAGUUUUUUGCCUACCAAGACUCAACAAAUCAUAUAGUUAUGCAACUAUAAUCACAUAAUUAAAUUCCUUCUAGGCAUUUGGGUCUGAGAUUCCUUUACUUGUCAAAAGACAGUGAUAGGGAUUUUAUAAAUGCCUCAGGUUGACUGUGUGCAAUUCUAUUUUGCAAAGAAAAAGAAACACUGAUACAGUUACUCUGCUGAUAUGGGAAAAUUGGCAGCUUCAGAGAAAUAGCAUUAGCUGUCAUGUGAAGGAAGUAAACAUCUUUGUGACACAAUUGGAAAAGCAACCAUGGAACUGAUGACAUUUAACUACAAAUGCAUCUUCUCUUAAAAAUUUUGAUUUGCUCAUUGAAUGAUUACAAAUGGACUAGAGAGCAUCCAACAGGAUCAUUAUGUCAGACCUUAGUCCAUCCCAAAUUAUUCUUGGUGGAAGCCCUGAAGAGUCAAUGGUGGCGAGGUUUGGGAACCUCCGGGGUUAAGGGUCACCUGGAGGAUUGGAUACAUGGCAGAUUACUGCUUUUUGCAGUUACAGGUUCUCUCCUGGCUAGAGGAGGAAUGCGAGAUGGUCUGUGGAAUGACAGGGUAAACUCCUGGUCCGGGGUUCGUCUCCAGAAUCAAACCGUCUGGGAGCACUGCCCGGGAAUCUGCACUGAGACAAGAACCUUGGUGAUCCUUCUAAGCAAAGGUAUGAGAGCGCCAUGCUGCUGAGGAACAGAUGGAGGCCACCUCCGCAGGCGGCAAGGAGGAAGACAGUGGUCCCAUUUUCUUAGUAGUAUUGCUUCAAAGAGAAAUGGUAUUGUUUUCAUGCUUAACCCCAGCUCUCAUAAAUUAAAUUUGCCUGGCAUUGUUAAAGUAUUUAGGGACUCUAUGUUAACACAACACACUUUCUUAAAUAUUCGUGUGCAUCUGUCUUAGUUGGGCUCUCAGUAUUUAAGGGCAGCUCAUGUCUUACUUGUCUUUCUGGAGCCAUGCCUCACAGCAUCUGCCCCUUAUAUACAUCCCCUAAAGGACUGACAUUUGUGUGUUGGAAGGGACAUCUUCAUGAGAAAUGCCAGCUGAUCUUCAUGUUAGUUACCUUUGGUUUAAAAGCCUAUUUUUUUCCACCCAAGAUGAGAUGAAAACUUUGACUUCUUUAUUCUACAUCUUGAAAAAAAUCCAGGUGCUAGAGGCUGAUUGUAUAUCUUUUCUACAACCUGAAUUUCCACACGUACAGUAACACCCCCACAUCACUUUGCCUACAUCAAGUUUGGGUGUUUGAAUGCCAGCUGAUGAGUGCUGAUUUUAAACUCUCCUGCUUAAAAUUUAUUUAUUUAUUUUUCCCUGAGAGUGCUCACUUUCUGGUUCCCAGUAGUUGGAUUUCUCUUUCUAUUCUGGUGGGCCUAAAAGCCUCAGAAAUGCUUUUGUUUGUGCUGUUGUUUAGAGAAGGGGAAGAAAUGACUGGCUUUUAUCUACAAUCUAUGUCCGAUAAAGAUUGCUUUGCCAUAAAAGAAGCAAACAAUAAAAAACCACAAGUGCAAGAUGCUAAGUCUUAAAGUAUUCCCACUGAACCAAACCAAACCAAAACAAGUUGGUGUAGAGAGUUGACAG